Non-coding RNA from Erythranthe guttata (spotted monkey flower), 2123 nucleotides. Lineage: Eukaryota; Viridiplantae; Streptophyta; Magnoliopsida; Lamiales; Phrymaceae. The record is from RefSeq and is a predicted model, not a curated record.
UUUGCAAAGGAUUUUCUAAAUAAAGGUGAAGCCCAAAGGUCAAACCCGUAUACCCGAAAGUAUAAACAGAUUAAUCAUACCUAAUCCCUAAGCUUAUUAAUCAGUUAAUCGUUUGCAGAUGAAACCUUCGUCAUUUCCCUAGGGUUUUCACUCGUUCACGCUCGGAAAUUCAGAGAGAAUCCACGGGAUAAACGGGUCGUUAACCACACGCUGUCAACGGGGCAACCCGAGCUCGCGAGAUCCUGGAGGAGCUCCGCUAGUGUUCCUCGGAGCUAUUGGUUUGAGCACGACCGCCUUCGUGGAAACCGUCGGAGAUGGAUCUGGCCGAAAUCGAUCCGCCGGAGAAUUUGACAACUUUUGGACCUUUGGAUUCCUAACUCCAGACUUUUGGAAGAAGACUCGAUUCUCAAAAACACGAGGAAUGAACUGAGUUAUUAGGAUGUUCCUAUAGGGGAAUGUUGGCGUCUUUCUUUAUCAUGCAUUCGUCCGAAGACCAAGUGAACAGUGUACAAUUGAUGAAACCAUCACACUUAGUUUGUGUCGGCAUUUCCAAGGACAAGCUGAUGGAAGUGAUAGGUCAAAGAUGAGCUGAAGCGAGGAGAAAAGCCACAAGACAAUGCAAAAGCUUGGAAUGAAGCCCACCCUUGGAGUUAGCCGAGUCACUGUCAAGAAGAGCAAGUACGUUGGUUUCCCAUAACCCCUUUUCGAUAAUUUUCAUUUAUUUGUAUCAACACUUUUUUCUGGUUUAAUUUAUUUUUCAAACGUUAGACCCUAUUCGGAACUAGUGUGAUCGAAUUACUUUAUCUUGCACCAGUUCAACUAUUUUUGAAAUAUCCAAACCAUUUUCGCUCAUCAAAAUCGAUUUUCGAAACCCUUUUUCCCCAAUCAUGCAUUCAUGUGAAGAUCAAGUGGACAGUGUACCGUUGAUGAAGCCUCGAUGAUCAAUUUGGUUAACUUGAAACUUUAUACCAGCAGAUUCUUAGGAGAUUGGCUUGCAUGCACGCUAUUGCCGGAGUUUUCCAUGGAGACUUGAAGCCUCAAAAUGUCUUGGUUUUUUGGCGAGUAGACUAUUAAUAAUUAGCAUAGAGGAGGAAACAUUUCCCUCUUCUAAACGUAUUCAGUGGAUACUGGCACGCAUUGGGAUCCUUUCAUGGGUGGUUUGAUUCAGAUUUUCUUGAUAUCACGAGGAUGAUCUGAAUUAAAUUGUGCAGCUUUUUAAUGGCGGUGGAGGUCGUUGUGCCCCGAAUACUGAUUUUUAACGACAAAAUACACUUUUUAAUAGUAUUACCUUUUAAAGGCCCACCAACUUAAUCAGUUACCGGGCGAAAUACUCAUUUUUCAUAGGCCCACUAAAACUUUUUAACGGCCCAAGGCCAAGUCAGCUUUCAAAUGGUUUUCAUGGGCAUAGUAUAACUUCUUAAGGUACCAGUUUAUCCCAGGUCCAACUAGAACCAGCCCAACCAGCCAAGGCCAACUUAUUGUAUAGUUUUUGAAGCAGUAUGUUUGGUGGGGGGCUUCAAAAUUUGUUCGUGCGUUUAGCCUGCGACGUAUCUUGAGCGGGUUUCUUGAGGUUACUCUUUCAGAAGUGCAAACCGAUUCAGUGGGAAAAUAUUGGUUUGGGCCCAACAUGUAUUUAUCAAUUAAAUUAAUCUGCAAAUGAAUAGUAAAUAUUAAAUUUACUAAUAGAUGUAACGAUGCCCUUUUUUUAUUAUUCAAAAGUUCUUCAAGUGCAAAACAAAUCACUGAACUACAUUAUUUUCUUCUUAAAACAUGACCUAAUACAUUAGUUUAAAUGCAUAACCCAUCGUGGUACAGUCUAAUUAUACUAUGCCUAUUCAACGCAGGCCCAAUAAGUUAAUACAAUCACAACAUAUUUUUAGCUCUUGAAAUUUUCACUUUAUUUAGCUCUUAACACAUUAUUUUUUCAAAUAGUUCCAAAAUUUUAUAGGCUCAUAAACAGAUAUUCGAAAAUAUGAGCAGUUCAUGAAUUUUUUUUCAAGAAACCUAAAUAUGUUAUAGUUUUGCAAAGAGUUCAUAAAGACUUUUUAUAGUUAAAAUGAUGGUUACAUCUUUUUACGUCUUUAAUGUUAGUUAGAUUCCAACAUCGAAAAUUUGUUUACAAU